UGGGGAAUAUUGCACAAUGGGCGAAAGCCUGAUGCAGCAACGCCGCGUGAGGGAUGACGGCCUUCGGGUUGUAAACCUCUUUUAGCAGGGAAGAAGCGAGAGUGACGGUACCUGCAGAAAAAGCGCCGGCUAACUACGUGCCAGCAGCCGCGGUAAUACGUAGGGCGCAAGCGUUAUCCGGAAUUAUUGGGCGUAAAGAGCUCGUAGGCGGUUUGUCGCGUCUGCUGUGAAAUCCCGAGGCUCAACCUCGGGCCUGCAGUGGGUACGGGCAGAAUAGAGUGCGGUAGGGGAGAUUGGAAUUCCUGGUGUAGCGGUGGAAUGCGCAGAUAUCAGGAGGAACACCGAUGGCGAAGGCAGAUCUCUGGGCCGUAACUGACGCUGAGGAGCGAAAGGGUGGGGAGCAAACAGG
RNAcentral lists this ribosomal RNA (409 nucleotides) under Bacillota bacterium. Its description in RNAcentral is "Firmicutes bacterium partial 16S ribosomal RNA". It matches the Rfam family "Bacterial small subunit ribosomal RNA", at positions 355 to 776 of the family's 1533-position model. Lineage: Bacteria; Bacillati; Bacillota. The record is from RNAcentral.